GGGCGAAUAGCUCAGUGGGAGAGCGACGGCCUUACAAGCCGUAGGUCACAGGUUCGAAUCCUGUUUCGCCCACCA
This 75-nucleotide transfer RNA is filed under the name Zetaproteobacteria bacterium. RNAcentral describes it as "tRNA-Val". It matches the Rfam family "tRNA". Rfam says of the family: Transfer RNA (tRNA) molecules are approximately 80 nucleotides in length. Lineage: Bacteria; Pseudomonadati; Pseudomonadota; Candidatius Mariprofundia. The record is from RNAcentral.